Molecule: ribosomal RNA, 468 nt
Filed under: uncultured bacterium
Lineage: Bacteria
Description: bacterial SSU rRNA
Rfam family: Bacterial small subunit ribosomal RNA
Source: RNAcentral
CGCUGGCGGCGUGCCUAACACAUGCAAGUCGAGCGAGGAGAGUUCCUCGGGAUGAUCCUAGCGGCGGACGGGUGAGUAACACGUGGGCAACCUGCCUCAUAGAGAGGAAUAGCCUUCCGAAAGGGAGAUUAAUACCUCAUAACAUUGCAGUUUCGCAUGGAACAGCAAUUAAAGGAGCAAUCCGCUAUGAGAUGGGCCCGCGGCGCAUUAGCUAGUUGGUGAGGUAACGGCUCACCAAGGCGACGAUGCGUAGCCGACCUGAGAGGGUGAUCGGCCACAUUGGGACUGAGACACGGCCCAGACUCCUACGGGAGGCAGCAGUGGGGAAUAUUGCACAAUGGGGGAAACCCUGAUGCAGCCAACGCCGCGUGAGUGAUGACGGCCUUCGGGUUGUAAAGCUCUGUCUUCAGGGACGAUAAUGACGGUACCUGAGGAGGAAGCCACGGCUAACUACGUGCCAGCAGCAGC